This 433-nucleotide ribosomal RNA is filed under the name uncultured bacterium. Its description in RNAcentral is "partial 16S ribosomal RNA". It matches the Rfam family "Bacterial small subunit ribosomal RNA", at positions 29 to 507 of the family's 1533-position model. The record is from RNAcentral.
AGCGAACGCUGGCGGCAGGCCUAACACAUGCAAGUCGAACGGAUCCUUCGGGAUUAGUGGCGGACGGGUGAGUAACACGUGGGAACGUGCCCUUUGGUUCGGAACAACUCAGGGAAACUUGAGCUAAUACCGGAUGUGCCCUUCGGGGGAAAGAUUUAUCGCCAUUGGAGCGGCUCGCGUCUGAUUAGCUAGUUGGUGAGGUAACGGCCCACCAAGGCGACGAUCAGUAGCUGGUCUGAGAGGAUGAUCAGCCACACUGGGACUGAGACACGGCCCAGACUCCUACGGGAGGCGGCAGUGGGGAAUCUUGCGCAAUGGGCGAAAGCCUGACGCAGCCAUGCCGCGUGAAUGAUGAAGGUCUUAGGAUUGUAAAAUUCUUUCAGCGGGGACGAUAAUGACGGUACCCGCAGAAGAAGCUCCGGCUAACUUCGUG